ACCCAUCUGGUGAUAUUUUGCAGAGAAAAGCAAAGGGGAAGUAAUGAGAAAGCAAAAAGGAAAUGUUGGGUAAAAGGAGGUUGUUGCUUUAAAUAGGACAGCCAAGCUCGUCUGGUGUGCCGAUGGGAAUCUUCCUGUAGAGAGAGACUGAUAAUGUUGAAGUGAGAGGAAAUAAUUCAAAGGGGUGAAGUCUUUGAGAAGGAGAGAAGAGAUGGCAGCCAAGACACAAGAAGAGGAAGGUAGGAAGAGGAAGAGGAAAUACAGGAAGACAGAGAACAUGAGGAGUAGCACAGAGGCAUGAAGUGGCAGCAGGUGCACAAAGCUGCUGACCUGGAGAGCAGAGAGGUGGACAGCUCCAGGCCAGGAGGGCUGCGGGACCCAAGCAGGUGGGCCAGGGGACGGGCAGGCAGCAGAGACAAGGAAGUGAGGAGGAUUCACAUCAGAGCUGGGACACCAUGGGGUCUGUGGUCCCUGACCAGAGGCAGAGGUCAGGGAGAACUAGCAGGCAGGAACAGCACCAGGCAGCUGCAAAAGGAGAAGUGUGGCACUUAACACGUCAGUGAAACUUUAUCCUUGGACAAACUUCCUUCCUGCCCUUGCUUCUGAGUCUUUCUCAAGCCACAGUGGCACUGGAUUUGUGACCUGCCAUCUUUCAGUGCUACUGCUCUCCAAGGAUACCUUUUUCUUCACAAAUUGCUACCUAUUGAAGUGAUACUCAUUUCAGCCACCCAGAUCUGGACAGUCUUUGCCUCCACCUCUCUGGUAUUUUUUUUUUGACUGCAUAUUUCCUGGCACAUAAGCAAUCUGAAAAUGGCCAGCUAUUCUGAAUUACACACUUAUUUUAAAUGUGUCUGUUUGUGUCAAAUGGAGAUGUUUAUUUUUAGGAGAUUAUUGAUAGAAACUGGGGAGCAACAUUUAAGUAUCUUCAGUUUCCUGAAAGCACGUUGAAUUCUCCAUUAGAUGAGCCACGAAUAUUGUUCACAUUAUCUUUCUAACAUUGCACGCGUCCUUUGUGUAUUUAAGUGUUCCUCAAAGUAUGUAGAACUAAUGUUAAAAAGUAAAUACCUACUAUGAGUCAGGUAUUGUCUUAGACUUGAAUAUGAAAUAGUAAAUAAAACAGACACAGUUUCAGCCCUCUCACAAGAGACAGACGUUAAACAUAUAAUCGCCUGGAAUAUAAAAUUAGAAACUGUGAAGGAAAAGAGCAAGAUACUAGAAAUAAUAAUGGGAAAGCCGUCUUUGAAUUGGAGGACGGAAGUGGCAGAGGCUGUUGUGAGAAAGUAAUAUGUGCUGUGACUUGAAAGAUGACCAGAGUCAGCUAGAUGAAGUGUGUGAGGAAGAGUGGUUCAGGCAAAGGAAACAGCAUGUGCAAAGACCCGGAGGCGUGCAAGAAUUUGACAAGUUCAAGGACCCAAAGGAAAUCCAGGACAGCUGAGUAUAAAAGGCAAGUAAAGUGGGAGAUGAGUUGGAAAAAUAGGGAGGUUCUUGUCGAUCACAUUAAAAUACUUGAAUUUCAUGUGAAAUGAGAAGCCAUUGAAAGUUGUUAAAGCUGGAGAGUGAUUUAGUCUUUGAAAGUAUUUUAAAGAUCACCUUGGUUGCUGCAGGGAUCUUUAGUGGAGGACCUUAAAGAGAGGAGCUGGGGAGGCUAAUUAGGAGGAUAUGGCAAGAGAAUGUGUCCAAGGAGAAAGAAAGAGGCCUAUAAAUUGAAAGUACAUUUUGGAGGUAGAACCCAGGAACCUAAUGAUGGAUUGUUUAUCUAAUACAGUUGACCUUUGAACAACAUGGGUUUGAAAUGCAGAUCCACUUAUAUGCAGAUUUUUUUUUUAUAAAUA
Long non-coding RNA from Leopardus geoffroyi (Geoffroy's cat), 1832 nucleotides. RefSeq lists it as uncharacterized. The record is from RefSeq and is a predicted model, not a curated record. Lineage: Eukaryota; Metazoa; Chordata; Mammalia; Carnivora; Felidae. The transcript is spliced from 3 exons.